GAAGAAAAUAAGAAAAGGGAGCCGCACACGAUAGGAGGAGACCAAUUCCGUAGACGACUUAAGAUUGGAAGGGUUCGGAGGCAAUAAGGAAAGGAAAAGCGUUGGAGAAAUAGUUGUCUGACUUCGAUUCUUCGGUGGAGCAAGUGUACCAUCGACUUCGACUCGCCCUCAGCUCUAAUCAGUCUCC
Solanum pennellii is the source of this 187-nucleotide long non-coding RNA. RefSeq lists it as uncharacterized. The transcript is spliced from 3 exons. NCBI's taxonomy places the organism in Eukaryota, Viridiplantae, Streptophyta, Magnoliopsida, Solanales, Solanaceae. The record is from RefSeq and is a predicted model, not a curated record.